This 999-nucleotide ribosomal RNA is filed under the name Pedobacter ginsenosidimutans. Its description in RNAcentral is "bacterial SSU rRNA". It matches the Rfam family "Bacterial small subunit ribosomal RNA", at positions 62 to 1063 of the family's 1533-position model. Lineage: Bacteria; Pseudomonadati; Bacteroidota; Sphingobacteriia; Sphingobacteriales; Sphingobacteriaceae. The record is from RNAcentral.
UCGAACGAUAUCAUCCAGCUUGCUGGAUGAGAAAGUGGCGCACGGGUGCGUAACGCGUAUGCAACCUACCUUAAUCAGGGGGAUAGCCCGGAGAAAUCCGGAUUAAUACCGCAUAAAAUCACAGUCCCACCUGGGACAAUGAUCAAACAUUUAUGGGAUUGAGAUGGGCAUGCGUGUCAUUAGCUAGUUGGCGGGGUAACGGCCCACCAAGGCGACGAUGACUAGGGGAUCUGAGAGGAUGGCCCCCCACACUGGUACUGAGACACGGACCAGACUCCUACGGGAGGCAGCAGUAAGGAAUAUUGGUCAAUGGAGGCAACUCUGAACCAGCCAUGCCGCGUGCAGGAAGACUGCCCUAUGGGUUGUAAACUGCUUUUAUCCGGGAAUAAACCUCUUUACGUGUAAAGAGCUGAAUGUACCGGAAGAAUAAGGAUCGGCUAACUCCGUGCCAGCAGCCGCGGUAAUACGGAGGAUCCAAGCGUUAUCCGGAUUUAUUGGGUUUAAAGGGUGCGUAGGCGGCCUGUUAAGUCAGGGGUGAAAGACGGUAGCUCAACUAUCGCAGUGCCCUUGAUACUGAUGGGCUUGAAUGGACUAGAGGUAGGCGGAAUGAGACAAGUAGCGGUGAAAUGCAUAGAUAUGUCUCAGAACACCGAUUGCGAAGGCAGCUUACUAUGGUCUUAUUGACGCUGAGGCACGAAAGCGUGGGGAUCAAACAGGAUUAGAUACCCUGGUAGUCCACGCCCUAAACGAUGAACACUCGCUGUUGGCGAUACACAGUCAGCGGCUAAGCGAAAGCGUUAAGUGUUCCACCUGGGGAGUACGCUCGCAAGAGUGAAACUCAAAGGAAUUGACGGGGGCCCGCACAAGCGGAGGAGCAUGUGGUUUAAUUCGAUGAUACGCGAGGAACCUUACCCGGGCUUGAAAGUUAGUGAAUCAUUUAGAGAUAAAUGAGUCCGCAAGGACACGAAACUAGGUGCUGCAUGGCUGUCGUCAGCUCGU